GACAGAGGGUGCAACCGUUGUUCGGAAUUACUGGGCGUAAAGCGCGUGUAGGCGGCUAAGUAAGUCGGGCGUGAAAUCCCACGGCUCGACCGUGGAAGUGCACUCGAAACUGCAUAGCUAGAGUCCUGGAGAGGAAGGUGGAAUGCUUGGUGUAGAGGUGAAAUUCGUAGAUAUCAAGCGGAACACCGGUGGCGAAGGCGGCCUUCUGGACAGUGACUGACGCUGAGACGCGAAAGCGUGGGGAGCAAACAGG
This 253-nucleotide ribosomal RNA is filed under the name uncultured bacterium. Its description in RNAcentral is "partial 16S ribosomal RNA". It matches the Rfam family "Bacterial small subunit ribosomal RNA", at positions 524 to 776 of the family's 1533-position model. The record is from RNAcentral.